This 1366-nucleotide ribosomal RNA is filed under the name Antheraea polyphemus (polyphemus moth). Its description in RNAcentral is "16S ribosomal RNA". Lineage: Eukaryota; Metazoa; Arthropoda; Insecta; Lepidoptera; Saturniidae. The record is from RNAcentral.
GGGGGUAAAAUUAAAAAUAAAAUAAAAUAAUAAAAGAAUUUUUAAAAUAAAAAUAUUUAAUGGGGGUUAAAGUAUUUUUAUGGAAAAAAUUUUUAUUUUUAUAGUUAAUUAGUAUUGUAAAAGAAUUUUGAAAUAAUAUGAAAAUGAAUUUAUACGAAAGUAAAUUUAAUUUAUUGUAUCUUGUGUAUCAGAGUUUAUUAAAAAUUUUUUAAAUUUUUAAAUUUCUCGAAUUUAAAAGGGUUAAUUAAUUAAUAAAGUUAUUGUGGCAUAAAUAUUUUAAAUAAUUAAUUAGAAAUGAAAUGUUAAUCGUUUUUAAAUAUAUCUAGUUUUUUUAGAAAAAAAUUUAAUUUUUAAUUUAAUUAAAAAUUAAAAUAAAUAUUUAUUUUAAUUUUUAAUUAAAUUAAAUAAUUUAAGGGAUAAGCUUUAAAUUAAAAUUUUAUAAUGAUUUAAGUUUAAUUUAAAAAUUUUAUAAUUUAUAUUGUUAAUAAAUUUUAUUUUAUUAUAAAUAAUUUUAAUUUUGAAUAAAAUUUAAUUUGAUUUAAUUUUUUAUAAAAAAAUUUAAAAUAAUAAAAAAUUUAAAGAAAUUAUGAUAAAAUUAGUAAAUAAACUAAAAAAAAAAUAAAUAAAUAAUUUUAAAAUUUAUUUUUAAGGAAUUCGGCAAAAAUUUAUAUUCACUUGUUUAUCAAAAACAUGUCUUUUUGAAAAUAAUUUAAAGUCUAAUCUGCCCACUGAUGAAAUAUUAAAGGGCUGCAGUAUUUUGACUGUACAAAGGUAGCAUAAUCAUUAGUCUCUUAAUUGGUGACUUGUAUGAAAGAUUGGAUGAAAUAUAAACUGUCUUAAAAAUAAUUAAUUGAAUUUAAUUUUUUAAUUAAAAAGUUAAAAUAAAUCAAAAAGACGAGAAGACCCUAUAGAGUUUUAUAUUAAAUGAAAUUUAGUUUAUAUAUAAAUUUAUUAAAUUAUAAAUUUUAUUUAAUAUUUUGUUGGGGUGAUAAAAAAAUAAAAAAAACUUUUUUUAAAAUUAUCCAUAAAUAAGUGAUUAUUUGAUCCAUUUUUAUUGAUUAUAAGAAAAAAUUACCUUAGGGAUAACAGCGUAAUUUUUUUUUUUAGUUCUUAUAAGAAAAAAAGUUUGCGACCUCGAUGUUGGAUUAAGAUAAAAUUUAAAUGCAAAAGUUUAAAAUUUUUGAUCUGUUCGAUCAUUAAAAUCUUACAUGAUCUGAGUUCAAACCGGUGUAAGCCAGGUUGGUUUCUAUCUUUUGUUAAAUUUAAUAUUUUAGUACGAAAGGAAUAAAUAUUAUAAUUAAAUUAAUUUUAAUGAAUAUCAUUAAUUAAAAAUUAAAUUUAUUUAAUUUAUAGGUUAAUAAUAUAA